Molecule: ribosomal RNA, 254 nt
Filed under: uncultured bacterium
Lineage: Bacteria
Description: partial 16S ribosomal RNA
Rfam family: Bacterial small subunit ribosomal RNA
Source: RNAcentral
GACGUAGGAGGCGAGCGUUUGUCCGGAUUCAUUGGGCGUAAAGAGCGCGCAGGCGGCUUGGUAAGUCGGAUGUGAAAUCCCGAGGCUCAACCUCGGGUCUGCAUCCGAUACUGCCCGGCUAGAGGUAGGUAGGGGAGAUCGGAAUUCCUGGUGUAGCGGUGAAAUGCGUAGAUAUCAAGUGGAACACCAGUGGCGAAGGCGAGUCCCUGGACAAAACCUGACACUGAGGCACGAAAGCUAGGGGAGCAAACAGG